CGGCGGACGGGUGAGUAACGCGUGGGUAACCUGCCUCAUACAGGGGGAUAACAGUUAGAAAUGACUGCUAAUACCGCAUAAGCGCACAGUACCACAUGGUACGGUGUGAAAAACUCCGGUGGUAUGAGAUGGACCCGCGUCUGAUUAGGUAGUUGGUGGGGUAACGGCCUACCAAGCCGACGAUCAGUAGCCGACCUGAGAGGGUGACCGGCCACAUUGGGACUGAGACACGGCCCAA
RNAcentral lists this ribosomal RNA (238 nucleotides) under uncultured bacterium. RNAcentral describes it as "partial 16S ribosomal RNA". It matches the Rfam family "Bacterial small subunit ribosomal RNA", at positions 96 to 334 of the family's 1533-position model. The record is from RNAcentral.